RNAcentral lists this long non-coding RNA (582 nucleotides) under Homo sapiens (human). RNAcentral describes it as "HSALNT0128137". Lineage: Eukaryota; Metazoa; Chordata; Mammalia; Primates; Hominidae. The record is from RNAcentral.
CCAGAGAGAAGGAAGCACUGUUUGUCCUGAGAGAAUCCUUUCUUGCAUCUGCUUGCCUGGGUUUCAGUGGAUGUGUGUGGGACAGCCCCAGGGGCAGCGGCUGUGAGCUUCCUCGACCCUCGGAGGGUCAGAGUCUGGUAGAAGAGACAGAUUGCCACCACUAAGCCCACCAAGAAGGGUCGGGGGCAAAAUCGCCGACGACAAGGGAACACUGGGCGACAGACCAUGACCAGUUCAGCUUCACUUGGCCCCUGUCCACGUUAAAGUGCCUGUUGCACAGCUGAACUCAGGCCAGGUUGCCUUAGCAGUUCCUCAAUUUUCCUCCGGUUUUAAAGAUGCUUCCCUUCAUUUAGUUUUAAAUUCCCACUGUCCUGUAAGUAUUCACGGCUUUUAACAUAAAAAGGGCAUACGCAAUUUGAAUGGACAUGGUUACUGUCAGGGUUUUUGCUUGAAUUUGUUUCAUUCCGUCUCAAGUUCAAAGUUCUAUGUACUUACUCAGUUUUCAUCCUUUUAGCCAUCCUAAUGGAUUGCUGAUGAAAACCACUCGGAAGGAAACACCCAGUCGUAUGACUCCAAUUCAUC